RNAcentral lists this ribosomal RNA (440 nucleotides) under Weissella confusa. RNAcentral describes it as "bacterial SSU rRNA". It matches the Rfam family "Bacterial small subunit ribosomal RNA", at positions 338 to 795 of the family's 1533-position model. The record is from RNAcentral. Lineage: Bacteria; Bacillati; Bacillota; Bacilli; Lactobacillales; Lactobacillaceae.
CCUACGGGUGGCUGCAGUGGGGAAUCUUGGACAAUGGGCGCAAGCCUGAUCCAGCCAUGCCGCGUGAGUGAUGAAGGCCUUAGGGUUGUAAAGCUCUUUUGUCGGGGACGAUAAUGACGGUACCCGAAGAAUAAGCUCCGGCUAACUUCGUGCCAGCAGCCGCGGUAAUACGAAGGGAGCUAGCGUUGUUCGGAAUCACUGGGCGUAAAGCGCACGUAGGCGGAUUUGUUAGUGAGGGGUGAAAUCCCGGGGCUCAACCUCGGAACUGCCUUUCAUACUGCAGAUCUCGAGUCCGAUAGAGGUGGGUGGAAUUCCUAGUGUAGAGGUGAAAUUCGUAGAUAUUAGGAAGAACACCGGUGGCGAAGGCGGCCCACUGGAUCGGUACUGACGCUGAGGUGCGAAAGCGUGGGGAGCAAACAGGAUUAGAUACCCUAGUAGUC